Long non-coding RNA from Trachemys scripta elegans, 1026 nucleotides. RefSeq lists it as uncharacterized. The transcript has 3 exons. NCBI's taxonomy places the organism in Eukaryota, Metazoa, Chordata, Testudines, Emydidae. The record is from RefSeq and is a predicted model, not a curated record.
GGUACUGGCGGACAGCAGCCAGUCAGCGGCCGAACCCCAGUGCGGGGCCCGGUACCCGCGGAGACACAUCCCGGCUGUACGUGGUGCGGUAGCGCCCCGGCUCUGCGGUGGUUGUGUAAAGCCCCAGCUCCUGGAGUCCCGUGAGAGCCUCCGCAUCCCUUAACCGUUCUAGCCCGCAGGACAGCGGAGAUAAGCGGGAAGACUUGAACCUUAGCGGCUCCAAAGGCAGAAGGAAAAUGUAAACAGCCCAAGAGGCGUUGUGUGCAUCGCACAGCCUUUGGGGCCUGAUGGUCAUUGGACACGGGGAGGUGCAAAACUGGUUCAGGAGGGAUACUAUCUACAGAGCUGAAAGAUGAUCUCAUGAUACUUGUCAUGACAAACAAGAAAUCCAACUGUACAGGCUCCACCUCCCCUGCAGGAAGCCUGAUUAAUUUAUCUUUGCAUGGGGAAUUCUGUGCAAGCUGAGGGGAAUGCAAUCUACAACUCCAGUCUGUGGGAAUACUGUGGACCUGCAGAGCAGAGGUCUGCAACCAUUGCUCUAGUCUGUGUGCUGGAAUACUGGCUGAAACUCCAUCAUGCCCCUAUCAGGAGUUUUGGAUAAUUGGAUCACAGUAACCACAGAUACCAUGGUCUUGCCCUGAACAUGUUCUCAACAGAUCACUAUGUCCCAACCUAUAACAAUUUUUAGAAACUGAAAUAUUUCUAAAGUUCUUUGUAAAAUGUGUGCACAUACAAGAAAACAUCAUUUUUAAGCUCAGACCAUUAAAACCUUUAUACUGUGUCUUGUCACACUAUCAUUUACUGUUGUAUAUUCCACAUAUUUUACGGAUAAACUAUUUUAGAAAUGUUUUAAAGAACAUAAAUAGUUUUUACUAAAUCAUGAAGAUUGUUAUCUAGUCUUUUCUUCCUAGAGAUCUCUCAACCAUGCACUGACCAGACUCUCAUCUUGUGAGCUCUUUGAGGCAAGGAUUGUGUCUGUUUACACCUUCCUGAGUCCAGUGAAGCCCUGACGCUGAUCAGGCUCUU